GAAAGAAAGAUCAUCCCUGCAACAAGAGUACAGCAUCUUUCACUCCAUAUCAAGAGAUCCAAUACAACUUAAUACUAGUUGGACAAAUGCUUCCAAGAGUUCUACGCAAUGAAAUGCCUCAUGCUCCACAAGAAGAAUGUUCCCCAAGUUCCUGUACUUGUAGUUCAACUUUAAAAUGGAAGUUUGAUGUUUUCUUGAGUUUUGCAGGAAAAGACACUCGCUUAAAUUUCACUGAUCAUUUAUAUGAUGCUUUCAUUAGAAGUGGCAUCAGAUGUUUUAGGGAUGAUAAAGGAAUAGAGAGAGGAGCAGUUAUUCAACAACAACUCCUUCAAGCCAUCAAGGAAUCUCCUUGUGUUGUUAUUGUUCUCUCCGAAAAUUAUGCAAAUUCUACAUAGUGCUUGGAUGAACUCGACCAGAUUCUUGAAUCUCAAAAAAAAUUUGGUACACAUGUUUUUACUGUCUUCUAUGGUGUGGAUCCAUCUGAUGUAAGAUAUCAAAGAAAAACUUUUGGAGAAGCUUUAUUCAAACACGAAAAGAGAUUCAAAAAUGGCAAAGAUAAGGUUCAGAAAUGGAGAAACGCUUUGUCACAAGUUAGCAAUUUGUUAGGUUGGAACAUUAGGAAUCGGCAUGAAACAGAAGUCAUCCGAGACAUUAUUGAAGCAAUAUGGAGCACUUUAUAUUCUAAUUUGCCAUCUCAUGAUGAUCAUUUGGUUGGAAUUAACUCAAAGAUGGUUGAGUUAAAUUCAGUGCUAGAGAUUGAGGUGGAUGACAUUCGUUUUGUAGGGGAUAUGGGGUAUGGGUGGAAUUGGUAAGACAACUCUUGCUAGGGUCAUUUUUGAAAGAAUCUUUGACCAAUUUGAAAUGUCUUGCUUCCUUGCUAAUGUUAGGGAGACUUCAGAGAGACAAGGCCUAGUUAGUUUAUAAAAAGAUAUUCUUUUACAACUCAAUAUAGGGAAAAUAAUAUAUGAUGAGCAUUUUGGGAAGAUUGUUCUGAAUGAACUUUUUUGGAAUAAAAAGGUUCUCCUUGUCCUUGAUGAUGUAAAUCAUGUGAGUCAAUUAGAGAAUUUGGCAAAUCCAAAGUGGUUUGGGGUAGGGAGUAGAGUGAUUAUAACAACCAGAAAUUUACACUUAUCGAAAUCACGGAGAGUGAAUGAAAUAUAUGAAGUCAAACUCAUGGAAAAAAAAAUGAAUCUCUUGAGCUAUUUUCCAAGACAGCAUUUAAGAAAGAUCAACCUGAAGAUGAUUAUUUGCUAUUAUCAGAAACUAUAGUUAAAUAUGCAGGAGGUCUUCCUUUGGCACUCUAUGUUUUAGGUUCCUUUCUUUAUGGAAGAAGUCUUGUUGAGUGGGAAGAAGCUUUGGAAAGGAUAAAACAAGUUCCCGAUAAUGAUAUUUUUCAAAUUCUAAAAAUAAGUUACCAUGGAUUGAAUGAUGAAGAAAAGACAAUAUUUUUAGAUAUUGCUUGUUUCUUCAAUGGAUGGAAAAGAGAUGAAGUUGCUCAAAUUUUGAAAAACUGUGAUCUUCACCCCACAAUUGGAAUAAAUAUUUUGAUUGAAACGGCUCUAUUGAUUGAAAACAAAACAAUGAAUGGAGAAGCCAUAUUAGAGAUGCAUGAUUUACUUCAAGAAUUAGCUAAGAGUAUCGUUUUUCAAGAAUCUCCUGGUUGUGUUCAUGGACAAAGCAGGUUGUGGAAUCUAGAAGACAUUGAUGAAGUAUUGAAAAAUGAUAAAGUGAGUACCUUAUUUCUAAAUACUCAUUUGUUGUUUUAAUAAUUCAAGUUUAUCUUCUAAUAAUUCAAGUUGUAUCCUAUUGUACUUUAGUUUUCUACAUUGAAUUAUCAUGGAAAACCUUUUAUAGAUUUGUGACAUCAUAGAUUAAUAUACUUCCCUUUUCCAGUACUUCCUAGACUUUUGAAAGGCGGUAAUGUUGUUUUCUCAAAUAAAUGCAAUAGUACUUUUUGUUCAACAUGCUGUAUGGGCAAAUCACAUAAACUACAUCACCAUCCUUCAUGACUAUAUAUACAUACAAUUCACCACUUGAAUUGGAAUCUAUUGAUCUCCAAGACUCUGUUCCUUGUCCUUCAGUCCAUGAAAAUCUUUAUUACAUCAAUUUUGUUGACCAUUAUUUGUCUUACUUCAAUUGGUUAAUAUAUCUAUUUAAACUAACUUUGAUGCUUAUUUAGUUAUUCUUUAAAUCAAAGUCAUGGCUGAAAAUAAAUUAAAUGCCAUAAUCAAGUCCAUUCAAACUAAUGAGGUCGUGAGUUUAAAUUUUUUGACAAAUUUUUAGCCGCUAAGGGUAUCGUUUAUAAAUAUACUUAUUCAUAUGCUUAUCAUCCAAUGGGUACUAUUGAGAGAAAACAUGUAUAUAUAGUUGAUACUGGCCUAACUUUAUUAUCUCAUGCUAGAAUGCCUUUAAAAUUUUAGGAAUAUGCUUUUCUCAUUGAUACCUAUGUACAAAUCUUUUUCCUCCCUAUGUUUUUCAUAAUCUU
Long non-coding RNA from Neltuma alba, 2485 nucleotides. RefSeq lists it as uncharacterized. The record is from RefSeq and is a predicted model, not a curated record. The transcript is spliced from 3 exons. Lineage: Eukaryota; Viridiplantae; Streptophyta; Magnoliopsida; Fabales; Fabaceae.